RNAcentral lists this ribosomal RNA (440 nucleotides) under uncultured bacterium. RNAcentral's name for it is "partial 16S ribosomal RNA". It matches the Rfam family "Bacterial small subunit ribosomal RNA", at positions 338 to 795 of the family's 1533-position model. The record is from RNAcentral.
CCUACGGGUGGCAGCAGUAGGGAAUAUUGCUCAAUGGGGGAAACCCUGAAGCAGCAACGCCGCGUGGAGGAUGAAGGUUUUCGGAUUGUAAACUCCUUUUGUUAGAGAAGAUAAUGACGGUCUCUAACGAAUAAGCACCGGCUAACUCCGUGCCAGCAGCCGCGGUAAUACGGAGGGUGCAAGCGUUACUCGGAAUCACUGGGCGUAAAGAGCGCGUAGGCGGGAUAGCAAGUCAGAUGUGAAAUCCUAUGGCUUAACCAUAGAACUGCAGUUGAAACUGUUAUUCUUGAGUAUGGGAGGGGAAGGCGGAAUUCAUGGUGUAGGGGUGAAAUGCGUAGAGAUCAAGAAGAAUUCUGAUUGCGAAGGCGAGCGUCCGGGGUGCAACUGACGCUGAGGCGCGAAAGCGUGGGUAGCAAACAGGAUUAGAUACCCGUGUAGUC